Brachypodium distachyon (stiff brome) is the source of this 685-nucleotide long non-coding RNA. RefSeq lists it as uncharacterized. NCBI's taxonomy places the organism in Eukaryota, Viridiplantae, Streptophyta, Magnoliopsida, Poales, Poaceae. The record is from RefSeq and is a predicted model, not a curated record. The transcript has 2 exons.
AUUUUGCUCGCCCGAUCUGCGUGCCCCUUAUUUUUCUAUUUUUUUCAGAGCGGUGGUUGUUUUGUUUUGUCUCUUCGUCUUUCUUCUACCUCAGGCGGAAGAUGUACGGAGUGAAUGAUGGGGGCGGAGGAAGAGCUGAGCAUCGUCGGCGUACCGGGUACAAAAGGGCCAGAUGCUAAACUGCAGUUCAACCUGAGACAUUUUUGAGAGGGCACUGGGACCUGCUGCUGUUUUUAUUUUUGAGCUAGUUAGGGUCAUUGCCUCGCACCACCAUUUUCUAUUGCUCUUUCAGUGUUUGUAGCAUUUUGUUUCCCUUAUUAAUGAUUAUAUUUUUUUAGCAGCAACACAUCCCUCCCUAUGGCUGGUAAGAGUUCUGUGAUGAGCAAGUAACUUCCAUAUGGUUACGCUGUUCUAACUAGAAGUUCUGUGACAUCAAGCAACACUUCUUUUCCAAAGAUGCAAAUGAACUGAAGAAUAUCUUGUGGAGCUGAAAAUUUCAAGAUCCUUACAUUCUUUCUUACUGUAUGUUUAGGCGUUAUUAGUAUGUCUUUUUGUUAUGCAUACGCUGUGACGGGACAUGGCUACUUUGUGAACAAGAGAACAAAUCUUUUUUGCUUUUGUGAGCUGCUACGAGACCUGUGACUGCGCACGGAUAUUUUUGGGUAACAAGAGAUUUUUUUUUUUU